UGCAAUUUAUUCAGAUGUGAUUGGCUGGCUGGACGCCCUGAGAGGGAAGGGCAUGGUGGCCAAGUAUUCCUGGUCCUGCAAGAGGAGCUACAAGACUGGAUUCGUGUGGCACGAUCUGUCUGUGGAUGAUCUGCUGCUGCUCACGCAAGGAACAGAGUACGUUCUCAAGGGCUCCGAGUUCCCAUUCGACGAGUCAAAGCCUCUGCCAAUGCCAGAUCAUCAGCAGAAUAAUGCAGUAUGUGCAAAGGUUCAGCCCUGCA
Molecule: long non-coding RNA, 260 nt
Organism: Triticum dicoccoides
Lineage: Eukaryota; Viridiplantae; Streptophyta; Magnoliopsida; Poales; Poaceae
Exons: 3
Source: RefSeq, a predicted model, not a curated record